UACGAAGGGGGCUAGCGUUGCUCGGAAUCACUGGGCGUAAAGCGCACGUAGGUGGGUCGCUAAGUCGGGGGUGAAAUCCUGGAGCUCAACUCCAGAACUGCCUUCGAUACUGGCGAUCUUUGAGUCCGGGAGAGGUGGGUGGAACUGCGAGUGUAGAGGUGAAAUUCGUAGAUAUUCGCAAGAACACCAGUGGCGAAGGCGGCUCACUGGCCCGAUACUGACGCUGAGGUGCGAAAGCGUGGGGAGCAAACAGG
RNAcentral lists this ribosomal RNA (254 nucleotides) under uncultured bacterium. RNAcentral describes it as "partial 16S ribosomal RNA". It matches the Rfam family "Bacterial small subunit ribosomal RNA", at positions 524 to 776 of the family's 1533-position model. The record is from RNAcentral.